Non-coding RNA from Microcebus murinus (gray mouse lemur), 573 nucleotides. Lineage: Eukaryota; Metazoa; Chordata; Mammalia; Primates; Cheirogaleidae. The record is from RefSeq and is a predicted model, not a curated record.
UUAGGAGACAAUGUGACUUGUCUGUUGAGUGAGACAAAGAUAAGGCAGUAAGUCUUUGAAAACAGCAAACCAUUUUUGCACUAGCAGAAGCAGACUUCCUCUCUCUCAAGCGUGAAAGAAGCUGAGACAUGAAGUCAAAAAGCAGACAGGGUGAUCUUUCUUGCAGGGAGCCUGAUUCCACAGACAUAUUGGAACGACUCUUCCUGUGGGAGACUGAAUUUCUGGCCUGAUUUCUCCAUCCUUCACUGUAGUUAUGACCUUGAAGAACUUCACACUGCAGAUGCCAUCUACUGAAAUGGAGAAUAUAGGACUACAGAAAGAAGAAUUAUCAUAUUAGGAGGGAAGACAAGUGAGUUGAUUUUGAAUAUGUUAAACUCGAUUAUUGGAGAUAAUUUUGGGAAUUGAAUAAAUUAUAAGAUAUAAACAUAAUACUUAAAAAUUCAAAGUAUGAUAUAGAAAAAAGAUUUAGACUUGAGGGUUGGGCAUACGUAAAUGGAUUCGAAACCACAACCUCUUAAGUAGUCAUCUUGUUUCAACUGUUCUCUUGUCACAAUCACUACCUACGUAGCAAAU